AGCUCCAAUAGCGUAUAUUAAAGUUGUUGCGGUUAAAAAGCUCGUAGUUGGAUUUCUUCUCUUGUCAGCCGGUCCUCACUUCGUGAGAGUAUCUGGUCAGAUUUGAGAAUCCUGUAUUCAAACGACGCUGCGCUUGAUUGCGUGGCUCGAGGGGAUACACUUUUACUUUGAGGAAAUUGGAGUGUUCACGGCAGGCAUUCGCCUUGUACACAUUAGCAUGGAAUAAUAAUAUAGGAUCACGACCCUAUUUUGUUGGUUUCUAGAGUUGUGAUAAUGAUUAAUAGGGACAAUUGGGGGCAUUUGUAUUAACACGUCAGAGGUGGAAUUCUUGGAUUGUGUUACGACAAACUACUGCGAAAGCAUUUGCCAAGGAUGUUUUCA
Molecule: ribosomal RNA, 381 nt
Filed under: uncultured eukaryote
Lineage: Eukaryota
Description: SSU rRNA
Rfam family: Eukaryotic small subunit ribosomal RNA
Source: RNAcentral